Molecule: ribosomal RNA, 407 nt
Filed under: uncultured bacterium
Lineage: Bacteria
Description: bacterial SSU rRNA
Rfam family: Bacterial small subunit ribosomal RNA
Source: RNAcentral
UGGGGAAUAUUGCGCAAUGGGGGGAACCCUGACGCAGCAACGCCGCGUGCAGGAAGAAGGUCUUCGGAUUGUAAACUGUUGUCGCAAGGGAAGAAGACAGUGACGGUACCUUGUGAGAAAGUCACGGCUAACUACGUGCCAGCAGCCGCGGUAAUACGUAGGUGACAAGCGUUGUCCGGAUUUACUGGGUGUAAAGGGCGCGUAGGCGGGAUUGCAAGUCAGUCGUGAAAUGCCGAGGCUUAACCUCGGAGCUGCGAUUGAAACUGUAAUUCUUGAGUAUCGGAGAGGAAAGCGGAAUUCCUAGUGUAGCGGUGAAAUGCGUAGAUAUUAGGAGGAACACCAGUGGCGAAGGCGGCUUUCUGGACGACAACUGACGCUGAGGCGCGAAAGUGUGGGGAGCAAACAGG